RNAcentral lists this ribosomal RNA (496 nucleotides) under uncultured bacterium. Its description in RNAcentral is "partial 16S ribosomal RNA". It matches the Rfam family "Bacterial small subunit ribosomal RNA", at positions 28 to 506 of the family's 1533-position model. The record is from RNAcentral.
GAUGAACGCUGGCGGCGUGCCUAAUACAUGCAAGUCGAGCGAACAGACGAGGAGCUUGCUCCUCUGACGUUAGCGGCGGACGGGUGAGUAACACGUGGAUAACCUACCUAUAAGACUGGGAUAACUUCGGGAAACCGGAGCUAAUACCGGAUAAUAUAUUGAACCGCAUGGUUCAAUAGUGAAAGACGGUUUUGCUGUCACUUAUAGAUGGAUCCGCGCCGCAUUAGCUAGUUGGUAAGGUAACGGCUUACCAAGGCAACGAUGCAUAGCCGACCUGAGAGGGUGAUCGGCCACACUGGAACUGAGACACGGUCCAGACUCCUACGGGAGGCAGCAGUAGGGAAUCUUCCGCAAUGGGCGAAAGCCUGACGGAGCAACGCCGCGUGAGUGAUGAAGGUCUUCGGAUCGUAAAACUCUGUUAUUAGGGAAGAACAAAUGUGUAAGUAACGAUGCACGUCUGGACGGUACCUAAUCAGAAAGCCACGGCUAACUACGU